Molecule: ribosomal RNA, 485 nt
Filed under: uncultured bacterium
Lineage: Bacteria
Description: partial 16S ribosomal RNA
Rfam family: Bacterial small subunit ribosomal RNA
Source: RNAcentral
AGUGAACGCUGGCGGCGUGCUUAACACAUGCAAGUCGAACGAGAACGGAAUAUAGCUUGCUAUAUUUGUCAGCUAAGUGGCGCACGGGUGAGUAAUGUAUAGAUAACCUGCCCUUAAGAAAGGAAUAACAGUUGGUAACGACUGCUAAUGCCCUAUAUGCCUUUAAUACAUAAGUAUGCAAGGGAAAAGCUUUAGUGCUUAAGGAUGGGUCUGUAUGGUAUCAGCUUGUUGGUGAGCUAAUGGCUCACCAAGGGUCUGACUCCCAUCUGGUUUGAGAGCACGAGCCGUCACACUGGAACUGUUACACGGUCCGAGCUCCUACGGGAGGCAGCAGUGUGGAAUGUUGCACAAUGGACGAAAGUCGCAUGCAGCAACGCCUCGUGGAGGAUGACACAUGUCGGUGCGUAAACUCCUUUUAUAUAGGAAGAUAAUGACGGUGCUAUAUGAAUAAGCACCGGCUAACUCCGUGCCAGCAGCAGCCGCAG